AACUUUGUGGUUUAUGAAACCCUCUACUUGAAUUGGAGACUUCUCCCACAUAAAACCCCCUUUUUUUUUCCUCAUUAACCAAAUCGUGAAAGAGUGAAAACGAAACCCUUUGUCGUCGCACUCUUCCUCCCGUUCCCUCCUCUGGUUGAUUGUCUCUGAGCCGUCGAAGUGAUUCCCGGCACUCCUCCUCCCGAUUCCUCCUCCGGUUGAUUGUCUUCGCCGGUAAACGCAUAUUUUAUCUUAGUGUUUUUGGUUUUUUUGUUCAUCUAAUUUUGUUUUCUAAAUUGAAACUGAAGCUUUGUCUCGAUAUCCCUUCUUCUUUUAGAUGUCUCAAUUUCGUUAGAGACAUAAAUAUCAAUUGAAAUUGCAUGUAGAUUUCAACAGAUCUUUGUAUAUAAGUUUUUGUUGAAUUUAUGGGUUUCGUGAGAGAAAGUUUGAUAAUUUUUUGU
This 449-nucleotide long non-coding RNA is filed under the name Arabidopsis lyrata. Its description in RNAcentral is "long non-coding RNA (ALYR_LNC000487)". Lineage: Eukaryota; Viridiplantae; Streptophyta; Magnoliopsida; Brassicales; Brassicaceae. The record is from RNAcentral.